GCAUGUUCACAUGAUUAAAGGUAUUCCGGUAGACGAUGGGGAUGCGUUCCAUUAGAUAGUAGGCGGGGCAACGGCCCACCUAGUCUUCGAUGGAUAGGGGUUCUGAGAGGAAGGUCCCCCACAUUGGAACUGAGACACGGUCCAAACUCCUACGGGAGGCAGCAGUGAGGAAUAUUGGUCAAUGGGCGAGAGCCUGAACCAGCCAAGUAGCGUGAAGGAUGACUGCCCUAUGGGUUGUAAACUUCUUUUAUAAAGGAAUAAAGUCGGGUAUGCAUACCCGUUUGCAUGUACUUUAUGAAUAAGGAUCGGCUAACUCCGUGCCAGCAGCCGCGGUAAUACGGAGGAUCCGAGCGUUAUCCGGAUUUAUUGGGUUUAAAGGGAGCGUAGAUGGAUGUUUAAGUCAGUUGUGAAAGUUUGCGGCUCAACCGUAAAAUUGCAGUUGAUACUGGAUAUCUUGAGUGCAGUUGAGGCAGGCGGAAUUCGUGGUGUAGCGGUGAAAUGCUUAGAUAUCACGAAGAACUCCGAUUGCGAAGGCAGCCUGCUAAGCUGCAACUGACAUUGAGGCUCGAAAGUGUGGGUAUCAAACAGGAUUAGAUACCCUGGUAGUCCACACGGUAAGCGAUGAAUACUCGCUGUUUGCGAUAUACAGCAAGCGGCC
This 658-nucleotide ribosomal RNA is filed under the name uncultured bacterium. Its description in RNAcentral is "bacterial SSU rRNA". It matches the Rfam family "Bacterial small subunit ribosomal RNA", at positions 187 to 848 of the family's 1533-position model. The record is from RNAcentral.